This is a long non-coding RNA of Oncorhynchus keta (chum salmon), 4664 nucleotides long. RefSeq lists it as uncharacterized. The transcript has 5 exons. Lineage: Eukaryota; Metazoa; Chordata; Actinopteri; Salmoniformes; Salmonidae. The record is from RefSeq and is a predicted model, not a curated record.
AAACAUGGUAACUUUAGAACAGAGAAGUUGACAGUUUUAACACUUAGUCACCACAGAUAGCUGAGUUCUCUGGUGGUUUAGAAGUCUAACCUCCGGCGGUUUGAACCAGUUUCACUCUGCAGCACAUAUAGACCUGCAGACACUGAGGUCACUACAGAUAAAUUAGGAUGACAUGGAGAGAUAGAGAGAGAGAGAGAGAGAGAGAGAGAGAGAGAGAGAGAGAGAGAGAUCGAGAGAGAGCGAGAGAGAGAGAGAGAGAGAUAGAGUGCGAGAGAGAGAGAGAUAGAGAGCGAGAGAGAGAGAGAGAGCGAGAGAGAGAGAGAGCGAGAGAGAGAGAGAGAGAUAGAGAGCGAGAGAGAGAGAGAGAGCGAGAGAGAGAGAGAGAGAGAGAAAGAGAGAGAGAGAGAGCGAGAGAGAGAGAGAGAGAGAGAGAGAGAGAGAGAUAGAGAGCGAGAGAGAGAGAGAUAGAGUGCGAGAGAGAGAGAGAGAGAGAGAGAGAGAGAGAGAGAGAGAGAGAGAGAGAGAGAGAGAGAGAGAGAGAAAGAGAGAGAGAGAGAGAGAGAGAGAGAGAGAGAGAGAGAGAGAGAGAGAGAGAGAGAGAGAGAGAGAGAGAGAGAGAGAGAGAGAGAGAGAAAGAGAGAGAGAGAGAGAGAGAGAGAGAGAGAGAGAGAGAGCAAGAGAGAGAGAUAUAGAGUGAGAGGAGUUGGGUGUCCGAGGGAGGAGUUUUCAAUAGAGGAAGAAAGAACACUUCACCCUGCUGUCAAAUGAAUAACUGACAUAGAAUCUGUUGUGGAACUGUACAGUCCGAUAGUGUAGUAAAGUAACUUUAACAGUAUAGUAACUGUGGUAGUAAAGUAACUUUAACAGUAUAGUAACUGUGGUAUUAAAGUAACUUUAACAGUAUAGUAACUGUGGUAGUAAAGUAACUUUAACAGUAUAGUAACUGUGGAGUAACUGUCCAGAAUGAUGAUACUCCAUGUUGUCUCCUGCUGUCUCCUCUCAGGUGAGUUCUUUCUGUCUGUCUGUCUGUCUGUCUGUCUGUCUGUCUGUCUGUCUGUCUGUCUGUCUGUCUGUCUGUCUGUCUGUCUGUCUGUCUGUAUUUGUCUAUAAGGAGCCAGAAUGUUUGUUUUUCACAUGUACCUCAUUAUAAUGAACUGAACUUAGAAUGUUUGAUAUGUUGGUCUAUUACCUGGGUUUGAGCAGGGUUAAAGUCAGGUUUGAGCAGGGUUAAAGUCAGGUUUGAGCAGGGUUAAAGUCAGGUUUGAGCAAGGUUAAAGUCAGGUUUGAGCAGGGUUAAAGUCAGGUUUGACCGGAGUUAAAGUCAUGUUUGACCAGGGUUAAAGUCAGGUUUGACCAGGGUUAAAGUCAGGUUUGAGCAGGGUUAAAGUCAGGUUUGACAAGGGUUAAUGUCAGGUUUGAGCAGGGUUAAUGUCAGGUUUGACUAGUGUUAAUGUCAGGUUUGACCAGGGUUAAAGUCAGGUUUGAGCAGGGUUAAAGUCAGGUUUGAGCAGGGUUAAAGUCAGGUUUGACAAGGGUUAAUGUCAGGUUUGAGCAGGGUUAAUGUCAGGUUUGACUAGGGUUAAAGUCAGGUUUGACAAGGGUUAAUGUCAGGUUUGACUAGGGUUAAAGUCAGGUUUGACAAGGGUUAAUGUCAGGUUUGAGCAGGGUUAAUGUCAGGUUUGACUAGAGUUAAUGUCAGGUUUGCGCAGGGUUAAUGUCAGGUUUGACUAGUGUUAAUGUCAGGUUUGACCAGGGUUAAAGUCAGGUUUGAGCAAGGUUAAAGUCAGGUUUGAGCAGGGUUAAAGUCAGGUUUGACCAGGGUUAAAGUCAGGUUUGACCAGGGUUAAAGUCAGGUUUGACAAGGGUUAAUGUCAGGUUUGACUAGGGUUAAAGUCAGGUUUGACAAGGGUUAAUGUCAGGUUUGAGCAGGGUUAAUGUCAGGUUUGACUAGAGUUAAUGUCAGGUUUGCGCAGGGUUAAUGUCAGGUUUGACUAGUGUUAAUGUCAGGUUUGACCAGGGUUAAAGUCAGGUUUGAGCAGGGUUAAAGUCAGGUUUGAGCAGGGUUAAAGUCAGGUUUGACCAGGGUUAAAGUCAGGUUUGACCAGGGUUAAAGUCAGGUUUGAGCAGGGUUAAAGUCAGGUUUGAGCAGGGUUAAAGUCAGGUUUGAGCAGGGUUAAAGUCAGGUUUGAGCAGGGUUAGAGUCAGGUUUGAGCAGGGUUAAAGUUAGAUUUGAGCAGGGUUAAAGUAGGAUUUGAGCAGGGUUAAAGUUAGAUUUGAGCAGGCUUAAAGUUAGAUGUGAGCAGGGUUAAUGUUAGAUGUGAGCAGGGUUAAUGUUAGAUUUGAGCAGGGUUAAAGUUAGAUGUGAGCAGGGUUAAUGUCAGAUUUGAGCAGGGUUAAAGUGAGGUUUGAGCAGGGUUAAAGUCAGGUUUGACAAGGGUUAAUGUCAGGUUUGAGCAGGGUUAAUGUCAGGUUUGACCAGGGUUAAUGUCAGGUUUGACUAGGGUUAAUGUCAGGUUUGAGCAGGGUUAAUGUCAGGUUUGAGCAGGGUUAAUGUCAGGUUUGAGCAGGGUUAAAGUCAGGUUUGAGCAGGAUUAAAGUUAGGUUUGAGCAGGGUUAAAGCUAGAUUUGAGCAGGAUAAAGUUAGAUAUGAAAAGGGUUAAAGUUAGGUUUGAGCAGGGUUAAAGUUAGAUAUGAAAAGGGUUAAAGUUAGAUUUGAGCAGGGUUAAAGUUAGAUUUGAGCAGGAUUAAAGUUAGAUAUGAAAAGGGUUAAAGUUAGAUUUUAGCAGGGUUAAAGCUAGAUUUGAGCACGGUUAAAGUUAGAUUUGAGCAUGGUUAAUGUUAGAUUUGAGCAGGGUUAAAGUCAGGUUUGAGCAGGGUUAAAGUCAGGUUUGAGCAGGGUUAAAGUCAGGUUUGAGCAGGGUUAAAGUCAGGUUUGACCAGGGUUAAAGUCAGGUUUGACCAGGGUUAAAGUCAGGUUUGAGCAGGGUUAAAGUCAGGUUUGAGCAGGGUUAAAGUCAGGUUUGAGCAGGGUUAAAGUCAGGUUUGAGCAGGGUUAGAGUCAGGUUUGAGCAGGGUUAAAGUUAGAUUUGAGCAGGGUUAAAGUAGGAUUUGAGCAGGGUUAAAGUUAGAUUUGAGCAGGCUUAAAGUUAGAUGUGAGCAGGGUUAAUGUUAGAUGUGAGCAGGGUUAAUGUUAGAUUUGAGCAGGGUUAAAGUUAGAUGUGAGCAGGGUUAAUGUCAGGUUUGAGCAGGGUUAAUGUCAGAUUUGAGCAGGGUUAAAGUGAGGUUUGAGCAGGGUUAAAGUCAGGUUUGACAAGGGUUAAUGUCAGGUUUGAGCAGGGUUAAUGUCAGGUUUGACCAGGGUUAAUGUCAGGUUUGACUAGGGUUAAUGUCAGGUUUGAGCAGGGUUAAUGUCAGGUUUGAGCAGGGUUAAUGUCAGGUUUGAGCAGGGUUAAAGUCAGGUUUGAGCAGGAUUAAAGUUAGGUUUGAGCAGGGUUAAAGCUAGAUUUGAGCAGGAUAAAGUUAGAUAUGAAAAGGGUUAAAGUUAGGUUUGAGCAGGGUUAAAGUUAGAUAUGAAAAGGGUUAAAGUUAGAUUUGAGCAGGGUUAAAGUUAGAUGUGAGCAGGGUUAAUGUUAGAUGUGAGCAGGGUUAAUGUUAGAUUUGAGCAGGGUUAAAGUUAGAUGUGAGCAGGGUUAAUGUCAGGUUUGAGCAGGGUUAAUGUCAGAUUUGAGCAGGGUUAAAGUCAGGUUUGAGCAGGAUUAAAAUUAGAUUUGAGCAGGGUUAAAGUCAGGUUUGAGCAGGCUUAAAGUUAGAUGUGAGCAGGGUUAAAGUUAGAUGUGAGCAGGGUUAAAGUCAGGUUUUGAGCAGGGUUAAAGUCAGGUUUGAGCAGGGUUAAAGUCAGGUUUGAGCAGGGUUAAAGUCAGGUUUGAGUAGGGUUAAUGUUAGAUGUGAGCAGGGUUAAUGUUAGAUUUGAGCAGGGUUAAUGUUAGAUGUGAGCAGGGUUAAUGUUAGAUGUGACUAGGGUUAAUGUUAGAUGUGAGCAGGGUUAAUGUUAGAUGUGAGCAGGGUUAAUGUUAGAUGUGAGCAGGGUUAAUGUUAGAUGUGAGCAGGGUUAAUGUUAGAUUUGAGCAGGGUUAAAGUUAGAUUUGAGCAGGGUUAAUGUUAGAUGUGAGCAGGGUUAAUGUUAGAUGUGAGCAGGGUUAAUGUUAGAUGUGAGCAGGGUUAAUGUUAGAUGUGAGCAGGGUUAAUGUUAGAUGUGAGCAGGGUUAAAGUUAGAUUUGAGCAGGGUUAAUGUUAGAUGUGAGCAGGGUUAAUGUUAGAUGUGAGCAGGGUUAAUGUUAGAUGUGAGCAGGGUUAAUGUUAGAUGUGAGCAGGGUUAAAGUUAGAUGUGAGCAGGGUUAAAGUCAGGUUUGAGCAGGGUUAAAGUCAGGUUUGAGCAAGGUUAAUGUCAGGUUUGACCAAGGUUAAAGUCAGGUUUGAGCAGGGUUAAAGUGAGGUUUGAGCAGGGUUAAAGUCAGGUUUGACAAGGGUUAAUGUCAGGUUUGAGCAGGGUUAAUGUCAGGUUUGACCAGGGUUAAUGUCAGGUUUGACUAGGGUUAAUGUCAGGUUUGAGCAGGGUUAAUGUCAGGUUUGAGCAGGGUUAAUGUCAGGUUUGAGCAGGGUUAAAG